Molecule: ribosomal RNA, 484 nt
Filed under: uncultured bacterium
Lineage: Bacteria
Description: partial 16S ribosomal RNA
Rfam family: Bacterial small subunit ribosomal RNA
Source: RNAcentral
AUUGAACGCUGGCGGCAUGCCUUACACAUGCAAGUCGAACGGCAGCGCGGACUUCGGUCUGGCGGCGAGUGGCGAACGGGUGAGUAAUACAUCGGAACGUACCCUGUUGUGGGGGAUAACUAGUCGAAAGAUUAGCUAAUACCGCAUACGACCUGAGGGUGAAAGUGGGGGACCGCAAGGCCUCACGCAGCAGGAGCGGCCGAUGUCUGAUUAGCUAGUUGGUGGGGUAAAGGCCCACCAAGGCGACGAUCAGUAGCUGGCCUGAGAGGACGAUCAGCCACACUGGGACUGAGACACGGCCCAGACUCCUACGGGAGGCAGCAGUGGGGAAUUUUGGACAAUGGGGGCAACCCUGAUCCAGCAAUGCCGCGUGUGUGAAGAAGGCCUUCGGGUUGUAAAGCACUUUUGUCCGGAAAGAAAUCGCGCUGGUUAAUACCUGGCGUGGAUGACGGUACCGGAAGAAUAAGCACCGGCUAACUACGUG